RNAcentral lists this ribosomal RNA (465 nucleotides) under Vreelandella stevensii. Its description in RNAcentral is "partial 16S ribosomal RNA". It matches the Rfam family "Bacterial small subunit ribosomal RNA", at positions 338 to 795 of the family's 1533-position model. Lineage: Bacteria; Pseudomonadati; Pseudomonadota; Gammaproteobacteria; Oceanospirillales; Halomonadaceae. The record is from RNAcentral.
CCUACGGGGGGCAGCAGUGGGGAAUAUUGGACAAUGGGCGAAAGCCUGAUCCAGCCAUGCCGCGUGUGUGAAGAAGGCCUUCGGGUUGUAAAGCACUUUCAGUGGGGAAGAAAGCCUUGGGGCUAAUACCCUCGAGGAAGGACAUCACCCACAGAAGAAGCACCGGCUAACUCCGUGCCAGCAGCCGCGGUAAUACGGAGGGUGCGAGCGUUAAUCGGAAUUACUGGGCGUAAAGCGCGCGUAGGCGGUCUGAUAAGCCGGUUGUGAAAGCCCCGGGCUCAACCUGGGAACGGCAUCCGGAACUGUCAGGCUAGAGUGCAGGAGAGGAAGGUGGAAUUCCCGGUGUAGCGGUGAAAUGCGUAGAGAUCGGGAGGAAUACCAGUGGCGAAGGCGGCCUUCUGGACUGACACUGACGCUGAGGUGCGAAAGCGUGGGUAGCAAACAGGAUUAGAUACCCUUGUAGUC